UGGUUGCUAAGAGAUUCGAACUCUUGCAUCUUACGAUAUCCGAGUGUUCACCAGUGUUUUCGAACUGGAGAAAGAUCCUGAAAAUCUUGAAUCGGACGCCUUAGACCGCUCGGCCAAACAACC
RNAcentral lists this transfer RNA (123 nucleotides) under Lachancea kluyveri. RNAcentral's name for it is "partial transfer RNA". Lineage: Eukaryota; Fungi; Ascomycota; Saccharomycetes; Saccharomycetales; Saccharomycetaceae. The record is from RNAcentral.